Molecule: ribosomal RNA, 452 nt
Filed under: Campylobacter gracilis
Lineage: Bacteria; Pseudomonadati; Campylobacterota; Epsilonproteobacteria; Campylobacterales; Campylobacteraceae
Description: bacterial SSU rRNA
Rfam family: Bacterial small subunit ribosomal RNA
Source: RNAcentral
AGUGAACGCUGGCGGCGUGCCUAAUACAUGCAAGUCGAACGGAAUUUAAGAGAGCUUGCUCUUUUAAAUUUAGUGGCGCACGGGUGAGUAAUAUAUAGCUAAUCUGCCCCUUGCUGGAGGACAACAGUUAGAAAUGACUGCUAAUACUCCAUACUCCUUUUUACCAUAAGAUAAAUCGGGAAAGAAUUUCGGCAAGGGAUGAGACUAUAUCGUAUCAGCUAGUCGGUGGGGUAACGGCCUACCGAGGCUAUGACGCGUAACUGGUCUGAGAGGAUGAUCAGUCACAUUGGAACUGAGACACGGUCCAAACUCCUACGGGAGGCAGCAGUAGGGAAUAUUGCGCAAUGGGGGAAACCCUGACGCAGCAACGCCGCGUGGAGGAUGACACUUUUCGGAGCGUAAACUCCUUUUGUUAGGGAAGAAUAAUGACGGUACCUAACGAAUAAGCACCG